Molecule: ribosomal RNA, 484 nt
Filed under: Triticum aestivum (bread wheat)
Lineage: Eukaryota; Viridiplantae; Streptophyta; Magnoliopsida; Poales; Poaceae
Description: partial small subunit ribosomal RNA
Source: RNAcentral
AGUGAGUGCGGUGUUAGUGUUUGUCUUUGUGUCCUCUCUCUUUUUCUAGUCUACCGUAGUAGGAGAAGGAAGGAAGAGGAACGACAAGAAGAACGCAACCAGAGUACCGUCCGGUGACGGAGGCUAGGAUCGGGGGAGGUCCUGAAAACACAGCGGCUGUACUUAAGUGGUCAUGCACAGUUACCCAAACAAACGUUCUUGGGUUACCUCCAGUUGCGACUACUGAAGAAGUUCCGUCGGCGGGAGCUGUUCGGAUCCCACUGGUUGUUCCAACCUAGGUUGCAGUGAAACUAGUUGCAGUACGUCUAACGACCUGAGUUGUGGGAGCCGUAGAGUUAACGCGCGUAGUUGAUACGAGGGAACCCAGUUUUGGGUGGUGUAUGCGUGGGAGCGCGGUGACUCUAGGAGUGCCACGAGCUCCCCUGUGACAUGCAACCGAAACAGUGUAGGUUGGUCGGGCGGGGUUUGUCUUUGUUCAAGGAGA